GACGAACGCUGGCGGCGUGCUAACACAUGCAAGUCGUACGGUAAGGCCCUUUCGGGGGUACCCGAGUGGCGAACGGGUGAGUAACACGUGAGUAACCUGCCCACAACUUUGGGAUAACGCUAGGAAACUGGUGCUAAUACUGGAUAUGUGCUCCUGCUGCAUGGUGGGGGUUGGAAAGCUCCGGCGGUUGUGGAUUGACUCGCGGCCUAUCAGCUUGUUGGUGGGGUAGUGGCCUACCAAGGCGGCGACGGGUAGCCGGCCUGAGAGGGUGACCGGCCACAUUGGGACUGAGAUACGGCCCAGACUCCUACGGGAGGCAGCGGUGGGGAAUAUUGCACAAUGGGCGCAAGCCUGAUGCAGCAACGCCGCGUGCGGGAUGACGGCCUUCGGGUUGUAAACCGCUUUCAGCAGGGACGAAGCUUUUUGUGACGGUACCUGCAGAAGAAGCACCGGCUAACUACGUG
Molecule: ribosomal RNA, 464 nt
Filed under: uncultured bacterium
Lineage: Bacteria
Description: partial 16S ribosomal RNA
Rfam family: Bacterial small subunit ribosomal RNA
Source: RNAcentral